AUGCCCUUUGGUCUCGAGGAUCACCAUUUGGUGGGGUUGGGGUCACACCCAAAGUCAUAUUGGAGAAUUGAGCGGAACUACUUCCAUGUGCACUCUUUUAUCGGGUCAGGAAGCCCUAUUUUUGAAGCAGGAAGACAGGUCUUUCUUCUUGGAUAG
Molecule: ribosomal RNA, 156 nt
Filed under: Triticum aestivum (bread wheat)
Lineage: Eukaryota; Viridiplantae; Streptophyta; Magnoliopsida; Poales; Poaceae
Description: partial small subunit ribosomal RNA
Source: RNAcentral